RNAcentral lists this ribosomal RNA (370 nucleotides) under uncultured organism. RNAcentral describes it as "bacterial SSU rRNA". It matches the Rfam family "Bacterial small subunit ribosomal RNA", at positions 526 to 896 of the family's 1533-position model. The record is from RNAcentral.
CGGGGGGAGCAAGCGUUGUUCGGAUUUACUGGGCUUAAAGAGUUCGUAGGCGGCGCAGAAAGUAGGGUGUGAAAGCCCUCGGCUCAACCGAGGAAUUGCGCUCUAAACUACUGUGCUCGAGGGACCUAGAGGUGAGCAGAACUGAUGGUGGAGCGGUGAAAUGCGUUGAUAUCAUCAGGAAUACCGGAGGCGAAGGCGGCUCACUGGGGGUCUUCUGACGCUGAGGAACGAAAGCCAGGGGAGCGAACGGGAUUAGAUACCCCGGUAGUCCUGGCCGUAAACGAUGAGCACUAGGCCGGAGGGCUGCACAGCCUUUCGGCCGUAGCUAAAGUGUUAAGUGCUCCGCCUGGGGAGUAUGGUCGCAAGGCUG